RNAcentral lists this ribosomal RNA (378 nucleotides) under uncultured bacterium. RNAcentral describes it as "bacterial SSU rRNA". It matches the Rfam family "Bacterial small subunit ribosomal RNA", at positions 28 to 400 of the family's 1533-position model. The record is from RNAcentral.
GACGAACGCUGGCGGCGUGCCUAAGGCAUGCAAGUCGAACGAGAUCCAUCUGUGCUUGCACAGGGAAGAUCUAGUGGCGAACGGGUGAGGAACACGUGAGAAACCUGCCCUCGAGAGGGGAAUAACAACGGGAAACCGUUGCUAAUGCCUCAUAUUGUUAACUGAUCGCAUGGUUUGUUAAUGAAAUGAAUUUCGCUCGAGGAUGGUCUCGCUUCUUANCAGCUUGAUGGUGGGGUAACGGCCUACCAUGGCGACGACGAGUAGCUGGUCUGAGAGGACGAACAGCCACACUGGGACUGAGACACGGCCCAGACUCCUACGGGAGGCAGCAGUGGGGAAUCUUGCGCAAUGGGCGAAAGCCUGACGCAGCAACGCCGC